Molecule: long non-coding RNA, 914 nt
Filed under: Olea europaea subsp. europaea
Lineage: Eukaryota; Viridiplantae; Streptophyta; Magnoliopsida; Lamiales; Oleaceae
Source: RNAcentral
AUUAUACAUCAAAAGCUUGAGAACGAGAGAUUUUGCUUUGUAAACGUUGGAGAGAGGAAAGAGAUGCCAUGGAAGUGCCUCUGCCUCUGCAGUUUCAGAGUCCAAAAGAAUAGGCUAUGCCAACGGUGUACACGGACCAAUGUUAAAAACUGAACCCAAACUGAUCCGGCUAGAUUUGACCCAAACACUUCUGAUUUGUUAGGUGUCGACAGAUAUGGUGUUAGUGGAGGCUCUUGGUGAUUUAUUUGUUGAUUUGGAGAGGUGAUGGUGGUGUUGCAGUGGGUUAAUCUAGCAGGCAAAAGAGAGGACACAUGGGCAGUGCUUUUGGGGGGUUCUUUUUGUGGUUUGGAAAUUGAGGUGGUAGUGGUGUGACGGCUGUUAUGGCGAUGGUAAUGAUAGUGUUUGCGGUGGUGGCGAAGGCGAAAGCGGUGGUGUGGUGUUGGUGGUUACAGUUGUUGUAACUUUAUGGUAUCAGUUUGUGACCAACUGUUUGGGGGGGGCAGUGAGGUGGUGGUUGUGUUGUUGGCUGUGAUGGUGAGGCCGAGGUAGUGAUGGCAAUGCUCGGCUUGGCUCUUUAACCCAUGAGCUCGUGUUUUUAAAAAAAAAAAUUGCACCUUUUUUUUAAAAUUUUUUUUUCAUAUUUUUGGACGAGCCCAAGCCGCCCACGAGCGGCCGAGCCAACGAGCCGCUCGGCCCGUUUGACAUCCCUAGGUCGAGGCAAUGGUCGUGGGUUGUUGGCUGAUUUUUUUUUUUUUUUUUUUUGGACAACUAUUGUGGUUUUGCAAGACCUGUUGGUGGUAAUGAUCAUAGUGACGAUGGUUGUAGGUGGGAUGAGAUUGGAUUGGAUUGUGGCCAAUUAUUUGGUUGAUUGUGACUAAUAAUUGGUUGAUUUGUAAUAUGUGACUUAAAAAUUG